Molecule: long non-coding RNA, 1445 nt
Filed under: Cricetulus griseus (Chinese hamster)
Lineage: Eukaryota; Metazoa; Chordata; Mammalia; Rodentia; Cricetidae
Description: lncRNA (ENSCGRG00000024416.1)
Source: RNAcentral
GGCGGGGCGGCUGGAGAAAGGGCGGGUCUUCAUGCGCAAGAGGCGGGGGCAGCCUAAGGGGCGGGGCCUCAAGACUCGAGGGCUGAGAGGGGAGGAGUCCAAGGGAGGAGGAGGGGGCGGACCGGCAAGGCGCGGGGUCUUAGGAGUGAAGGAACCGAGGGGCGAAGCCUGAAGACGUGUGGUGGGGGUCCCGCAGCGCAGGUCCUGUGGAUCUGCACCGCAGAGUCAGCUGGAGGAAAUUUGAGUCAGUGGGGACAGGCGUUUUGCAGAGGGACUCACAUGCGGUCUCUAGGUGGCAACCAGGCCUGUGCUCCCCACGCAGCUCUUCACCUGCCUGCGUCAACUUCCUGUUCGGCCUUUGGAGGAUUGGACCGCGGAAGGAAGUUUUCCCUGCCGUGGCUGGCCUCCCACGAUGUCAUAUUGACUUCUUAGAGCCCCUGUACUCCUACCCCGCCCCUUUUGUUGUUUAUUCGGACUCUUGAGAAUCUCAGUGGAUAACCAGGCUGCCUGGGAACUUGCCAUGUAGCCUGGGCUAGCCUCGAAAUAAUGAUAAUCCUUUGUGGGCUGGUUUUAUAGGAUUAAAUAAACUUACCCGCUUUAUCUUUCUAAUUGUUUAAUUUUACUUUCUUUAUAAGGUCAUAUGAGUCAUCUUUUUUAGAUUAAAAACUACAUUCCCAUGCAAAUUUGAAACAUCGCCUUUAUAAGGAAAAGAAGCUACUAAGAAAACAAAAUAAGGAGCUGGCAAGAUGUUUCAGCCAGUAAGGAUACUUGCAGUAAGGACACGUGCAGCCCAGCCUGAAGCCCAGCUUUCGAUCCCCAGAACCCACACGGUUGAACUUACUACUCAAAUUGUCCUCUGAACACAGGGGCUCUAAACACUUGGACACUGUCUGGACAAUUCUUAGAGAAGACAAGUUUCACGUGUUCAAACUGGGCCUCAUACUUGUGAUUCCAGAUACUCAGGAGGAUGCAAGUUCAAUCCACACCAUCACAAAAAUGGUGGGGGAGGGUCAGACACGCAGAGAGGAUACAGUUGGUGGGAUGAAAAAGCAGGGUGGUGGUGGCACAUGUCUUUAAAUCCCAGCACUCAGGAGGCAGAGGCAGACGGAUCUCUGAGUUCCAGGCCAGCGUGGUCUACAGAGUGAGUUCCAGGACAACCAAGGCUACACAGAGAGACCUGCCUGUCUUGAAGGGAAAAAAGAGAAAAGAAAGAAAAAAGUAAAAGCUACCUUUCAGUGAGAACAUUUCAAAUCCAUAAAAAGUAAGUAAAAGUGGGGAAGUUAAAAAGAGGAAGGAAAACCAAGAAAGGAAGUAAUUUACAGCAAUCACAAGAGUUUAGCUCCAGAUUGCCAAUCUCAAAUAUAUAAAAGAUUGUAGAAUGAACUAUAACCAGGGGCAGAGCUCAUUUUCUAUAAUCCCAGUGCUGGGAUGAGAGAGGAAAAUUG